This 374-nucleotide unclassified non-coding RNA is filed under the name soil metagenome. RNAcentral's name for it is "partial contains 5.8S ribosomal RNA, internal transcribed spacer 2, and large subunit ribosomal RNA". The stretch from base 1 to 120 matches the Rfam family "5.8S ribosomal RNA", at positions 35 to 154 of the family's 154-position model. The record is from RNAcentral.
GAUGAAGAACGUAGCGAAAUGCGAUAAGUAAUGUGAAUUGCAGAAUUCAGUGAACCAUCGAAUCUUUGAACGCACAUUGCGCCCGGCAGUAAUCUGCCGGGCAUGCCUGUCCGAGCGUCAUUUCUCCCCUCGAGCGCAGCUUUCCCCCCGGGGGAGGGCCGCGCCCGGUGUUGGGGCGCUACGGAGGAGCCCAGCGCUCCCCCGUAGGCCCCGAAAUGUAGUGGCGGUCCCGCCGCGGCGCCCCCUGCGUAGUAGUUUUACAACUCGCAUCGGGUCCCGGCGGAGGCCAGCCGUCAAACCCCCCAACUUCAAUAGUUUGACCUCGGAUCAGGUAGGGUUACCCGCUGAACUUAAGCAUAUCAAUAAGCGGAGGA